RNAcentral lists this ribosomal RNA (503 nucleotides) under uncultured bacterium. RNAcentral's name for it is "partial 16S ribosomal RNA". It matches the Rfam family "Bacterial small subunit ribosomal RNA", at positions 30 to 523 of the family's 1533-position model. The record is from RNAcentral.
AUUGAACGCUGGCGGCAGGCUUAACACAUGCAAGUCGAGCGGGGUGAUGGUGCUUGCACUAUCACUUAGCGGCGGACGGGUGAGUAAUGCUUAGGAAUCUGCCCAUUAGUGGGGGACAACAUCUCGAAAGGGAUGCUAAUACCGCAUACGUCCUACGGGAGAAAGCAGGGGAUCACUUGUGACCUUGCACUAAUAGAUGAGCCUAAGUCGGAUUAGCUAGUUGGUGGGGUAAAGGCCUACCAAGGCGACGAUCUGUAGCGGGUCUGAGAGGAUGAUCCGCCACACUGGGAAUGAGACACGGCCCAGACUCCUACGGGAGGCAGCAGUGGGGAAUAUUGGACAAUGGGGGGAACCCUGAUCCAGCCAUGCCGCGUGUGUGAAGAAGGCCUUAUGGUUGUAAAGCACUUUAAGCGAGGAGGAGGCUCUUUUGGUUAAUACCCAAGAUGAGUGGACGUUACUCGCAGAAUAAGCACCGGCUAACUCUGUGCCAGCCGCCGCGGUAA